AACGCACAUUGCGCCCGCCAGUACUCUGGCGGGCAUGCCUGUCCGAGCGUCAUCUCAACCCUCGGGCCCCCUCUGCGGGCCCGGCGUUGGGGAUCGGCGAACCCCCUCCGGGGGCGCCGGCCCCGAAAUAUAGUGGCGGCCACGCUGGCGACCUCCUUUGCGUAGUAGCACAACCUCGCACCGGAGCGCGGGCGCGGCCACGCCGUUAAACCCCCCACUUCUGAACGGUUGACCUCGGAUCAGGUAGGACUACCCGCUGAACUUAA
RNAcentral lists this unclassified non-coding RNA (266 nucleotides) under uncultured fungus. RNAcentral's name for it is "partial contains 5.8S ribosomal RNA, internal transcribed spacer 2, and large subunit ribosomal RNA". The stretch from base 1 to 52 matches the Rfam family "5.8S ribosomal RNA", at positions 103 to 154 of the family's 154-position model. Lineage: Eukaryota; Fungi. The record is from RNAcentral.